UACGUAGGUGGCAAGCGUUGUCCGGAUUUAUUGGGCUUAAAGGGUGCGUAGGCGGUUCUAUAAGUCUGUGCUGAAAUAUCCCGGCUUAACCGGGAGGGUGGCAUUGAUACUGUUGGACUUGAGUAAAGUUGAGGUUGGCGGAAUUGACGGUGUAGCGGUGAAAUGCUUAGAUAUCGUCAAGAACACCGAUUGCGAAGGCAGCUAACUAAGCUUUAACUGACGCUGAGGCACGAAAGUGUGGGGAGCAAACAGG
RNAcentral lists this ribosomal RNA (253 nucleotides) under uncultured bacterium. RNAcentral describes it as "partial 16S ribosomal RNA". It matches the Rfam family "Bacterial small subunit ribosomal RNA", at positions 524 to 776 of the family's 1533-position model. The record is from RNAcentral.